Molecule: ribosomal RNA, 498 nt
Filed under: uncultured bacterium
Lineage: Bacteria
Description: bacterial SSU rRNA
Rfam family: Bacterial small subunit ribosomal RNA
Source: RNAcentral
GACGAACGCUGGCGGCGUGCUUAACACAUGCAAGUCGAGCGGAAAGGCUCCUUCGGGGGUACUCGAGCGGCGAACGGGUGAGUAACACGUGAGUAAUCUGCCCUUCACUUGGGGAUAACCUCCGGAAACGGUGGCUAAUACCCGAUAUGACCGGCCCACGCAUGUGGUGUUGGUGGAAAGUUUUUUCGGUGGGGGAUGUGCUCGCGGCCUAUCAGCUUGUUGGUGGGGUAAUGGCCUACCAAGGCUUCGACGGGUAGCCGGCCUGAGAGGGUGACCGGCCACACUGGGACUGAGACACGGCCCAGACUCCUACGGGAGGCAGCAGUGGGGAAUAUUGGACAAUGGGCGGAAGCCUGAUCCAGCAACGCCGCGUGAGGGAUGACGGCCUUCGGGUUGUAAACCUCUUUCAGCACAGACGAAGCCUUGUCUUUGUGGGUGGGGUGACGGUAUGUGCAGAAGAAGCACCGGCCAACUACGUGCCAGCCGCCGCAGUAACAC